UUAUUCAAUUCUUGUAUAAGCCCGCUGAUAAGGUGCGGGCGUUUCUACAGGCAACCGUAAAUUGUCACAGUCUACAAGAAAGAU
This 84-nucleotide non-coding RNA is filed under the name uncultured Selenomonas sp. Its description in RNAcentral is "Purine riboswitch". It matches the Rfam family "Purine riboswitch aptamer", at positions 18 to 92 of the family's 102-position model. Rfam says of the family: Riboswitches are metabolite binding domains within certain messenger RNAs that serve as precision sensors for their corresponding targets. Allosteric rearrangement of mRNA structure is mediated by ligand binding, and this results in modulation of gene expression. Lineage: Bacteria; Bacillati; Bacillota; Negativicutes; Selenomonadales; Selenomonadaceae. The record is from RNAcentral.